CAUAUACUGAAAUAUGUU
Molecule: small nuclear RNA, 18 nt
Filed under: Arabidopsis thaliana (thale cress)
Lineage: Eukaryota; Viridiplantae; Streptophyta; Magnoliopsida; Brassicales; Brassicaceae
Description: snRNA_01753
Source: RNAcentral